UACGUAGGGUCCGAGCGUUGUCCGGAAUUACUGGGCGUAAAGAGCUCGUAGGUGGUUUGUCGCGUUGUCCGUGAAAACUCACAGCUUAACUGUGGGCGUGCGGGCGAUACGGGCAGACUGGAGUACUGCAGGGGAGACUGGAAUUCCUGGUGUAGCGGUGGAAUGCGCAGAUAUCAGGAGGAACACCAGUGGCGAAGGCGGUGCUCUGGGCCGGAACUGACGCUGAGGAGCGAAAGCGUGGGGAGCAAACAGG
Molecule: ribosomal RNA, 253 nt
Filed under: uncultured bacterium
Lineage: Bacteria
Description: partial 16S ribosomal RNA
Rfam family: Bacterial small subunit ribosomal RNA
Source: RNAcentral